RNAcentral lists this ribosomal RNA (277 nucleotides) under uncultured bacterium. RNAcentral describes it as "partial 16S ribosomal RNA". It matches the Rfam family "Bacterial small subunit ribosomal RNA", at positions 29 to 323 of the family's 1533-position model. The record is from RNAcentral.
AGCGAACGCUGGCGGCAUGCUUAACACAUGCAAGUCGCACGGUUAGGCUUCGGCCUGAUAGUGGCGGACGGGUGAGUAGCGCGUAGGGAUCUAUCCAUGGGUGUGGGAUAACUGCGGGAAACUGUGGCUAAUACUGCAUGAAGCCUGAGGGCCAAAGGUGUGAGAGCACUGCCUGUGGAGGAGCCUGCGUUCGAUUAGCUUGUUGGUGGGGUAAUGGCCUACCAAGGCGAUGAUCGAUAGCUGGUCUGAGAGGAUGAUCAGCCACACUGGGACUGAG